RNAcentral lists this small RNA (681 nucleotides) under Drosophila virilis. RNAcentral describes it as "GJ26530". Lineage: Eukaryota; Metazoa; Arthropoda; Insecta; Diptera; Drosophilidae. The record is from RNAcentral.
UGUUGUUGUUUUUCUCGUCACCGCAGAGCAAGCACGUCGGUAACGGAAAUUCUUGUCAACAUUUUUCGCGCUCUACGUUUUAACGGCGCCCGGUCGUCGUCGCCGUUGCUGCCAACAUUGUCAACCGCAGCGGCGUCACAUCAAGACAAAAAAAAAAAAAAACCUCUGGGUUUUCCAUGGGAAAACACAACAUAUCGGUAUCUAACAAUUCGACACGCGCUCAUCUCUAACGGAUCAUAACAGAAAAGACUGCACCGCUCUGCCUUAAGCCUCGCCGCGGAAUACGUACGAAAACGGAGACGGAGACGGCGACGUCGACUGCAGCAGACAGAAGAGAGAGCCUGGACUAGAGACAUAAAGAUCAACGAAAGAGAGUGCGAUAGACCCAGAGAGAGAGAGAGAGCGAGAUAGAGCGAGAGAGAGACAGGCAGACAGGCUACACACACACACACACACACACACACACACACACACACACACACUCAAGAUGAGCUCUUAUCUGGAACUUUUUGGAUUGUUCGUGCUGCUAAUGCUGCCUUUUCUAUACGAGACGAACCACAUAUUCCGAUAUUAUUUCAAGUUUUUAAUCUAUUAUGGAAUCGUCUCGUUUAACUCGAUCAUUCUGAUACCGGCGUUUCUCACACGGCCCUGCGAUGUGCGCAAUUUACUCUGGGCGAGCAC